This 253-nucleotide ribosomal RNA is filed under the name uncultured bacterium. RNAcentral's name for it is "partial 16S ribosomal RNA". It matches the Rfam family "Bacterial small subunit ribosomal RNA", at positions 524 to 776 of the family's 1533-position model. The record is from RNAcentral.
UACGUAGGGUGCAAGCGUUGUCCGGAAUUAUUGGGCGUAAAGAGCUCGUAGGCGGUCUGUCGCGUCUGCUGUGAAAUCUCAGGGCUUAACCCUGAGCUUGCAGUGGGUACGGGCAGACUAGAGUGCGGUAGGGGAGACUGGAAUUCCUGGUGUAGCGGUGAAAUGCGCAGAUAUCAGGAGGAACACCGGUGGCGAAGGCGGGUCUCUGGGCCGUAACUGACGCUGAGGAGCGAAAGCGUGGGGAGCAAACAGG